Molecule: unclassified non-coding RNA, 211 nt
Filed under: Hevea brasiliensis (rubber tree)
Lineage: Eukaryota; Viridiplantae; Streptophyta; Magnoliopsida; Malpighiales; Euphorbiaceae
Source: RNAcentral
AAAAGUAAGCAUUAAUUGCACAAGAGAUUGAAUCAAAAUAAAAGUCUCGAAUUUUAUCGAACCAAAAUCAAAAUACCACCAUAGUCAAGUUGAUUUGCUAACCCUAAAAAAAGAGAUUUAGCUUAACACAUUUUCAAUUAACUCAAAAGAAGUUGAAGAGAUAAAAUGACCCAUAAUGUAAAUUCUUGCAUAGAAAAUAAAACAAAGAAAG